RNAcentral lists this long non-coding RNA (588 nucleotides) under Olea europaea (common olive). RNAcentral's name for it is "long non-coding RNA (OEUR_LNC002156)". Lineage: Eukaryota; Viridiplantae; Streptophyta; Magnoliopsida; Lamiales; Oleaceae. The record is from RNAcentral.
CCCUAUACAUAUUUGGUUACUCCAUGCUUGACUUUGUUUAAGAUAAAGUUUUCAUAGCUUAGACAACUAUUCGUUACAGUCCUAAUAUACAUUAAACUAUAAUACAUUAAUUGUAGUAGAUUAUUUCUAAUCUAUGCACAAAUAUAAGUCUAGCGAUAUUGCUCUUAUUAUUUAAUUUAUUGCAUUAGGAUGGCUCCAGGGGCGAAGCUACAUAGAGACCACUACAAACAGGUGCCCAGUGCACUGGAUUUUGAGCUUGACACAAGAAAAACCAGUGUGGCUGCACUGGACCAAGAAGAGAAGAAGAAGGGAAGAAGUAGAGCACGCACUGACAUUAGCAGAGCCAGAAUUUACAUGUUGGGAGAGAGGACAAUCGCCAUUUACCAUUGUUGCAGGCAGUAGCAGACGGAAAGGUUGAAGAAUGAAGGGAAAAGAUAGAGAGGAAGAUAAGUGUUAGACUUGGGCCAAAUUUCCAAAGAAAUUUAGGAAAAAUUCAUAGUCCAGAAGAUAAGUAUAUGACCUUUCAAAUCUAAGAUUACAUGUUUGAAUCUUCAAAAAUCAAAUGGGUGGAGAGAGAGAAUCUUGGUG